RNAcentral lists this small RNA (127 nucleotides) under Marmota monax (woodchuck). The record is from RNAcentral. Lineage: Eukaryota; Metazoa; Chordata; Mammalia; Rodentia; Sciuridae.
GCCAGGCACAAUGGCACACUCCUGUAAUCCCAGCAGCUCAGGAGGCUGAGGCAGGAGGAUCACUAGUUCAAAGUCAGCCCUAGCAACUUAGCAAGGCCCUAAGCAACUUAGUGAGACCCUGUCUCAA